Molecule: ribosomal RNA, 500 nt
Filed under: uncultured bacterium
Lineage: Bacteria
Description: partial 16S ribosomal RNA
Rfam family: Bacterial small subunit ribosomal RNA
Source: RNAcentral
GUUGAACGCUGGCGGCAUGCCUUACACAUGCAAGUCGAACGGCAGCACGGGAGCAAUCCUGGUGGCGAGUGGCGAACGGGUGAGUAAAGUAUCGGAACGUGCCCAGUCGUGGGGGAUAACGUAGCGAAAGUUACGCUAAUACCGCAUACGAUCUAUGGAUGAAAGCGGGGGAUCGCAAGACCUCGCGCGGUUGGAGCGGCCGAUAUCAGAUUAGGUAGUUGGUGGGGUAAAGGCUCACCAAGCCGACGAUCUGUAGCUGGUCUGAGAGGACGACCAGCCACACUGGGACUGAGACACGGCCCAGACUCCUACGGGAGGCAGCAGUGGGGAAUUUUGGACAAUGGGCGAAAGCCUGAUCCAGCCAUGCCGCGUGCAGGAUGAAGGCCUUCGGGUUGUAAACUGCUUUUGUACGGAACGAAAAGGUUUGGGCUAAUAAGCUGAGCUCAUGACGGUACCGUAAGAAUAAGCACCGGCUAACUACGUGCCAGCCGCCGCCGUAA